GGGGAAGUGGCGGAAUGGCAGACGCGCAUGCUUCAGGUGCAUGUACUCGUUAGGGUGUGGGGGUUCAAAUCCCCUCUUCCCCA
This 83-nucleotide transfer RNA is filed under the name Lactococcus sp. RNAcentral's name for it is "tRNA-Leu". It matches the Rfam family "tRNA". Rfam says of the family: Transfer RNA (tRNA) molecules are approximately 80 nucleotides in length. Lineage: Bacteria; Bacillati; Bacillota; Bacilli; Lactobacillales; Streptococcaceae. RNAcentral also lists the same sequence under 5 other names. The record is from RNAcentral.